CAAGUCACAUGAAACAAAAUUGUCAUUCAUCUCAAACAAUCAACAUCUUUACAUGCAAAUUCCAUCAAAAGGACUUUUUCAAGGCUUGUAAUGAGGUUGGGCUAACAAGAAAGUUUGGUUUUUCCGGAAUACAAAGUCCUUGAGUUAAGAGAGCUUUCAAAAUAUUCAACAAUUUAAGCACAACUCUCUUCCUCACCAAUCUCACUUAUUCCCAACUUUUUCCCCUUUUUCUUUUUCAUUGAGCUCUUCUUCAUGCUUUUCUUCUUUUCUUUUCUUUUUCUCAUGAAUUUUUCCUUUCACAACAUUUGAGCUCAAUGUUUUUCACUUGCCUUUCAAUUUUUCCCCCAUACAACCCCAAACUUGAAUUUUUUCAUCACAUACUAUUAAGCUCAUC
RNAcentral lists this long non-coding RNA (394 nucleotides) under Vigna radiata. RNAcentral describes it as "long non-coding RNA (VRAD_LNC017257)". Lineage: Eukaryota; Viridiplantae; Streptophyta; Magnoliopsida; Fabales; Fabaceae. The record is from RNAcentral.